AGUCCAUGGUUUGGGCAAUUCUUGACCAAUCCCUUAAAAUGCUCCUAUGCGGCACUUAAGGUUUCAGCUUCUUCUUGUUCAAAAUUCAUAAUCUCUCGANAAGGUU
This is a small nucleolar RNA of Benincasa hispida (wax gourd), 106 nucleotides long. NCBI's taxonomy places the organism in Eukaryota, Viridiplantae, Streptophyta, Magnoliopsida, Cucurbitales, Cucurbitaceae. The record is from RefSeq and is a predicted model, not a curated record.